RNAcentral lists this ribosomal RNA (622 nucleotides) under uncultured archaeon. RNAcentral describes it as "bacterial SSU rRNA". It matches the Rfam family "Archaeal small subunit ribosomal RNA", at positions 147 to 774 of the family's 1478-position model. The record is from RNAcentral.
UAAUACUCCAUAGAUUAGAGACACUGGAAUGUUCUUUAGUCGAAAGUUCUGGCGCCUUAGGAUGGAUCUGCGGUCGAUUAGGUUGUUGUUGGGGUAACGGCCCAACAAGCCUGUAAUCGAUACGGGUUGUGGGAGCAAGAGCCCGGAGAUGGAAUCUGAGACACGAUUCCAGGCCCUACGGGGCGCAGCAGGCGCGAAAACUUUACAAUGCAGGAAACUGUGAUAAGGGAACUCCGAGUGCCCGUAUACGCGGGCUGUCCAGGUGUUUAAAAAUCAUCUGAAGAAAGGGCCGGGCAAGACCGGUGCCAGCCGCCGCGGUAAUACCGGCGGCUCGAGUGGUGGCCACUAUUAUUGGGCUUAAAGCGUCCGUAGCUGGACCGAUAAGUCUCUUGGGAAAUCCGCCGGCUCAACCGGCGGGCGUCUAAGGGAUACUGUUAGUCUAGGGACCGGGAGAGGUGAGAGGUACUCCGGGGGUAGGAGUGAAAUCCUGUAAUCCCCGGGGGACCACCGAUGGCGAAGGCAUCUCACCAGAACGGCUCCGACAGUGAGGGACGGAAGCUGGGGGAGCGAACCGGAUUAGAUACCCGGGUAGUCCCAGCCGUAAACUAUGCGCGUUAGGUGU